AGAGUUUGAUUCUGGCUCAGANCGNACGCUGGCGGCAGGCCUAACACAUGCAAGUCGAGCGCGCCUUCGGGCGAGCGGCGGACGGAUUAGUAACGCGUGGGAAUAUGCCCAGAUCUAAGGAAUAGCCACUGGAAACGGUGAGUAAUACCUUAUACGCCCUUCGGGGGAAAGAUUUAUCGGAUUUGGAUUAGCCCGCGUUAGAUUAGGUAGUUGGUGGGGUAAUGGCCUACCAAGCCUACGAUCUAUAGCUGGUUUUAGAGGAUGAUCAGCAACACUGGGACUGAGACACGGCCCAGACUCCUACGGGAGGCAGCAGUGGGGAAUCUUGGACAAUGGGGGCAACCCUGAUCCAGCCAUGCCGCGUGAGUGAUGAAGGCCUUAGGGUCGUAAAGCUCUUUCGCCUGUGAAGAUAAUGACGGUAGCAGGUAAAGAAACCCCGGCUAACUCCGUGCCAGCAGCCGCGGUAAUACGGAGGGGGUUAGCGUUGUUCGGAAUUACUGGGCGUAAAGCGCACGUAGGCGGAUCGGAAAGUUGGGGGUGAAAUCCCGGGGCUCAACCCCGGAACUGCCUCCAAAACUAUCGGUCUAGAGUUCGAGAGAGGUGAGUGGAAUUCCAAGUGUAGAGGUGAAAUUCGUAGAUAUUUGGAGGAACACCAGUGGCGAAGGCGGCUCACUGGCUCGAUACUGACGCUGAGGUGCGAAAGUGUGGGGAGCAAACAGGAUUAGAUACCCUGGUAGUCCACACUGUAAACGAUGAAUGCCAGUCGUCGGGUAGCAUGCUAUUCGGUGACACACCUAACGGAUUAAGCAUUCCGCCUGGGGAGUACGGUCGCAAGAUUAAAAACUCAAAGGAAUUGACGGGGGCCCGCACAAGCGGUGGAGCAUGUGGUUUAAUUCGAACAACGCGCANAACCUUACCAACCCUUGACAUC
This 931-nucleotide ribosomal RNA is filed under the name uncultured bacterium. RNAcentral's name for it is "bacterial SSU rRNA". It matches the Rfam family "Bacterial small subunit ribosomal RNA", at positions 8 to 988 of the family's 1533-position model. The record is from RNAcentral.